This 28-nucleotide small RNA is filed under the name Bombyx mori (domestic silkworm). RNAcentral describes it as "ovarian small RNA-12803". The record is from RNAcentral. Lineage: Eukaryota; Metazoa; Arthropoda; Insecta; Lepidoptera; Bombycidae.
CAACGAUAAAUCUGGCAGGCAACUGGUC